This 29-nucleotide small RNA is filed under the name Bombyx mori (domestic silkworm). Its description in RNAcentral is "ovarian small RNA-13786". Lineage: Eukaryota; Metazoa; Arthropoda; Insecta; Lepidoptera; Bombycidae. The record is from RNAcentral.
CCGACUUGUUGAGCUUGGAUGCCGCCGUC